AUGUGAAUAUUCAUAAAUACAGAUACUAUGAAAUUCAGGACCAUGUAUAUUAGGUUUAAAUUGAUGCAUUUAUUUAUUUAUUUAUUGUUUUUAUAUUUUUUUCUAUUCCUAAAUUAGAGUCAGAAAAAUAUUGUGAGCCAAACUCCCCAAUCGAUUUGAUGAAAAGUAACAGAUUAACUAGAUACAACAUAUUACAACAUUGCCAGUUUCUCCUUAGGAAGAAAAUCUCUU
This 231-nucleotide long non-coding RNA is filed under the name Salvia miltiorrhiza (redroot sage). RNAcentral's name for it is "long non-coding RNA (SMIL_LNC009010)". Lineage: Eukaryota; Viridiplantae; Streptophyta; Magnoliopsida; Lamiales; Lamiaceae. The record is from RNAcentral.